This 775-nucleotide ribosomal RNA is filed under the name uncultured Neocallimastigales. Its description in RNAcentral is "partial large subunit ribosomal RNA". It matches the Rfam family "Eukaryotic large subunit ribosomal RNA", at positions 24 to 646 of the family's 3401-position model. Lineage: Eukaryota; Fungi; Neocallimastigomycota; Neocallimastigomycetes; Neocallimastigales. The record is from RNAcentral.
UACACUGACGUCGCGACGCAUAUCAAUAAGCGGAGGAAAAGAAACUAACUAGGAUUCCCUCAGUAACGGCGAGUGAAGCGGGAAGAGCUCAAAUUUGAAAUCUUCAAGGUUCUACCUUGACGAAUUGUAGUUUAAAGAAGUGUUUUCUGUUGGAGUUUUGGUAAAAGUUCUUUGGAAUAGGACAUCAUAGAGGGUGAGAAUUCCGUAUUUGACCAUUAUUUCCAACUUUGUGAUACACUCUCAAAGAGUCGGAUUGCUUGGGAAUGCAGUCCAAAAUGGGUGGUAAAUUUCAUCUAAAGCUAAAUACUGGCGAGAGACCGAUAGCGAACAAGUACCGUGAGGGAAAGAUGAAAGGAACUUUGAAAAGAGAGUUAAACAGUACGUGAAAUUGUCAAAAGGGAAGCGUUUGACACCAGUGUUGUUUUUCCGAAAAUCAAUUACGAAUGUUUUGUUUUUAAGAGUUAUGACUUCAUCGGCUUGCUCCUUUCUUUACGAAACUUUCUUAAUGCACUUUUCGGUUAACAAGUCAACAUCAAUUUCUUUUGUUGUAAAAGGGUAUGAGGAAGGUGGCUUUCUUUUCGGAGAAAGUGUUUAUAGCCUUGUGCCUCUGCAAUCGGAGAGAUUGAGGUCUGCAGCGUAGAUCCCUUCGGGGUUAGAUACGUUUGUGCUAAGUUAUAGCUUUUCAUAGACAACUUGUUGACUAUGUUUAGUCUUGUAGCUUACUCGCUGAUGCUAUUUUACCUACGCUUAGGAUGUUGAUGUGAUACUGCGAGCA